AAUCCACCAAGGCCACUAGCUUGUGAGUGAAUGUGGUCCCUUCAGCAAAUUCGUGUGCACUGUUUACUGGGAAAUAAUUAUGGUUUUCGGCACUGGCAAAUGGAGUCCUAUUUCUAAUGGGAGACAGUGGUUGGCAAACAUGAAACCCUGAGUUUCCCUCUGAGUCUGAGCUGUGAACUGAAGUCGAUGACAUUGACAAGUCUACUGGAAUAUCAUCUCUCAGAGCAGAAUGCAUGAAUGAUGCAGGAGGGUUAUAGGAUGAAUUCACUGAUGAUCUUGGAGAUAUUGGUCUGCCAGAAAUAAAGUAGUCAAGAGAAUUUUGAGAACUGUUUAAAUAGUCUUUCCAGUAUCCUUCAGAAUCAUGGGUGCCAGGCCUAUGUUCCACAGAAAUACAAUCACUCCAUACAUUUUCAGCAUUGACACCAACCUCUUGUCUGGGCUCGGAUUUGGUGUCCCACGAAAGAGGGCUCUUUUUCGCAUUUUCACUGCCACCUCUGUCCUUCUCUGUAGCAGAUUCCCUAUCAGGCAGCCCGGGGUCUUGGGACAACCUUUGCCCAGCAGAAGGCCGCUCUGUUGCUGGCUCCAUUGCAUUGCUUAUUCUCAAUGAGCCAUGACUGGGCUCACUUCUUCUUGAAGAAUGACCUCUGCAAUUUUCAGCAUUUUCUUCAAAAUUUUUAUUUUUGGCCUGAGGGGUCGAUGUCCCCCCAAAUCUACUUCUUUUGUGAUGGGAAGGAGAACAGGGUGAGCGCACACCAACCCACAGACAUUCUUCAGACUGGGUUUCCUCUUCAGUGUCAUCGCUUUCUCUUCUGCUGUUCAAUGACAAAAUGGAAUAAAAGUCUUCAUCUCGGAACCUAAAUGAUGCCUUUCUUGGCCCUCCUACAGUGGUGGGUGUGAGUGGUGGCCCCGAGAACUCACUCAAUACUUGAGGACUAUUUUUUCCUUGGAAGGCCUGGGACAGGGCUGGAUGCAGCUCACUCUGGGAAGGAGCACUCGGGUCUCCUUUUUUGGCUCUAUCAGGGGCGUUCUCAGUCAUUGGCUGUGACGAUGGGACCAAGUUUCUUCUCUCUUGAUUUGGCCUCUUCAGCUUAGUGUUACACAUCAGGCCUUCUUGUUGAACUACUUGAUCUGCAUUGAGAAAAGACACAUUUAUCGUUCCAGUAAAAGGGCCCAUGGAUGAAAGGCCUCUAGCACCAAGUGCAAAAUUGCCCUUUAAAUGCAACAGACAAGACCUAGAGAAGAAAACAGACACGGUCAAAAUGGCUGGAGGUACAAGAGGAGCAGAGCCCAGCAGGCUUCAUUUUACUGCCCCGUAUUCUCCUUUGUACCCCUGUGGUCCUAGGGAAAUGGGGGGACCCUGAGGAUACAGAUUCUUUCUGCAGAAGCUCCCGGAAGACUGGCCCAGCCCCAGCCAGUCAGGACUGAUGAUGCGCAAACCUCACACUAAAUACUGGCUUUUGUUCCAUACGUACUGAAAGGGAAAACCACCACUCUGGGAAUGACUUCUACAAAAACCACCAGCCCUUUCUCAUCCACGUUCAUUCAAUGUACAUUUAUGACACCCUGCCUCCCACGCAGCUUUACAAGAACUUAAGAGAAGUAUAACAUGUCUUGGCAGAUCAGGAGGAAGGCUAUAGGAGCUGGCGCCCGGGGAACACUGGGGAUUUUGGUCAUGUUUACUAUUUAGUGAAAAUAAAAAUUAUAAAUCGCUCAUGAAAUCGUUAUCUUCUCUUUGUCACUAGCCCCAGGUCAAUUCUGUAACUUCUGGCUGCCCUAGAAUCCCUACUAUGAAUUCCUACACAGAAUCACUGAACUGGCCAGAAGCAUGCUAACUGUCUCUCUCUGUCUCUCUCUGUCACACACACACACACACACACACACACACACACACACACAACUUAAGCCUCACAACCCUGUGAAAUAGGUAACACAAUCAUACGACAUUAUAACUUGAGAGUACCAAGGCUUAGGGCAGUCACAUAACUAGCCCAAGAUCCUAUUUCCAGUAAGUGAUGGAAUGAACAUUUGAACCCACGCCUGCUCGAUACUAGGGUUUGUGUUCUUAACCACCACCCUGUGUUAGCCCUUAAGAAACUGGCUGGCCUUCCGAUUUCCUUGUGAAAAUGAGAAUCCAUUGAAUUCAUCGUGGUGUGUGUGUGCUGUUGAGGGUCUUUUACCCUCUUGAUGUGAGAAGGAAACUGACAGUACUUCUCUGAUGCCACUUACCUUUAUUCCCUCCUGACAUCGGCCUCCCCCCGCUUUGUUCUCCUCUCUGCUAUUGUGUGGGAUCUGAUGAGAUGCUGCUCUUUUUAUCAUUCCAUUUCUAAAGCGGUUCACCCUGUAGAGUGGACGGGACUCCACGGGCCCUGGAAGGUCUGUGUUGAUAACAGCUCGGGCUGGUGAAAUGCAAAUCCUCAGAGCAUCGGGCACCACCAAGGGCCAAGUCAAUUCUGGCUCACUUUAAUUGGGGCUCCUCACAGGGGGACACCAGUGUGAGUCUCUAAUGUCCUAACACUCGGGCAGCUUCUUUUAUUGUUAACUGCAUGGGACACUCAGCAACGCAGUAUGAAUCUUGACUCAUCAGCUCUUCUAGAAAUCAGUUAAGCUCUCCUCUCAGGCCCCUCCUGGGUUUUAUAAACCCCAGUUAGAGAUGCAGCAGCAAUUCAAGGAUGCUUUGAGCAUCUGGCUGUGGAACUACAGCGCUGGAGCUGGUGGCGAGGCCACUCCAGACUGGGCCGACCCCCAUUUUGGGAACAAAUGCUUCUACGUAAGCAACUGAAUUCUCCUGAAAAUUUUUUAAAAUAGAAAAGGGGGCUGGGGGCUGUGGCUCACGCCUGUAAUCCCAGCACUUUGAAAGGCCGAGGUGGGCAGAUCACUUAAGGUCAGGAGUUCAAGACCAGCCUAGACAACAUGGUGAAACCCCAUCUCUACUAAAAAUACAAAAAUUAGCCGGGUGCUGUGGUGUGUACCUGUAAUCCCAGCUAUUUGGGAGACUGAGGCAGGAGAAUCGCUUGAACCCAGGAGGCAGAGGUUGCAGUGAGCCCAGAUAGUACCACUGCACUCCAGCCUGGGCAACAGAGUGAGACUCUGUCUUAAAAAU
This 3100-nucleotide long non-coding RNA is filed under the name Homo sapiens (human). RNAcentral's name for it is "HSALNT0243615". The record is from RNAcentral. Lineage: Eukaryota; Metazoa; Chordata; Mammalia; Primates; Hominidae.